UCCAAGAUGAAACCAAUCCGGAUGUAAAGUUCAUUCUGCCGAGAGCGCAUACAAUCGUGUGGAUAUUUCCGUUGCCUUCCUUCUGAUCUUUUGA
This 94-nucleotide small nucleolar RNA is filed under the name Amanita muscaria Koide BX008. Its description in RNAcentral is "Small nucleolar RNA Z13/snr52". It matches the Rfam family "Small nucleolar RNA Z13/snr52". From Rfam's summary of the family: Z13 or snr52 is a member of the C/D class of snoRNA which contain the C (UGAUGA) and D (CUGA) box motifs. Most of the members of the box C/D family function in directing site-specific 2'-O-methylation of substrate RNAs. Lineage: Eukaryota; Fungi; Basidiomycota; Agaricomycetes; Agaricales; Amanitaceae. The record is from Rfam by way of RNAcentral.